GUGAGACAGUUCGGUCCCUAUCUGCCGUGGGUGUAGGAUACUUGAGAGGAGUUGCCCCUAGUACGAGAGGACCGGGGUGAACGAUCCACUGGUGGACCAGUUGUUAUGCCAAUAGCAGUGCUGGGUAGCUAUGAUCGGAAAGGAUAACCGCUGAAGGCAUCUAAGCGGGAAGCCCCCCUCAAAACAAGGUAUCCCUGAGGACCGUGGUAGACCACCACGUCGAUAGGCCGGAGAUGUAAGUGCAGCAAU
RNAcentral lists this ribosomal RNA (249 nucleotides) under Percolomonas cosmopolitus. Its description in RNAcentral is "partial Bacterial large subunit ribosomal RNA". It matches the Rfam family "Bacterial large subunit ribosomal RNA", at positions 2621 to 2882 of the family's 2925-position model. Lineage: Eukaryota; Heterolobosea; Eutetramitea; Percolomonadida; Percolomonadidae. The record is from RNAcentral.